AGCCCAACUCUAGCCCAACCCUCACAACCAAGCAAACUUAAAAAUCCACUUAUCCUCUAAACUAAAACAUUCUCCCAACUUAGUAUAGGCGAUAGAAAAGUUUAUUAGGCGCGAUAGAGACCUGUACCGUAAGGGAAAGAUGAAAUAGCAAUGAACAAGCCAAGCCACGAACAGCAAAGAUAAACCCUUGUACCUCUUGCAUCAUGAUUUAGCAAGAACAACCAAGCAAAGCGAACUUAAGCUUGCCAUCCCGAAACCCAAGCGAGCUACUUACAAGCAGCUAUCCUUUGAGCGAACCCGUCUCUGUUGCAAAAGAGUGGGAUGACUUGUCAGUAGAGGUGAAAAGCCAACCGAGCUGGGUGAUAGCUGGUUACCUGUAAACGAAUCUAAGUUCUACCUUGACCCCCCC
RNAcentral lists this ribosomal RNA (409 nucleotides) under Ptilinopus victor. Its description in RNAcentral is "partial 16S ribosomal RNA". It matches the Rfam family "Bacterial large subunit ribosomal RNA", at positions 157 to 892 of the family's 2925-position model. The record is from RNAcentral. Lineage: Eukaryota; Metazoa; Chordata; Aves; Columbiformes; Columbidae.